GUGUUAUAUGAAAGGCGAGAAGGUUAGCACUUUCCUUGACAAGAAUGGAAUGGCCUAUGGGCCUAAUACAUAUCCGGUCAAGACACUGUCGCCUAGUCUAUGGCAACUUAACCAAACUAUUUU
RNAcentral lists this non-coding RNA (123 nucleotides) under Stegodyphus mimosarum. The record is from RNAcentral. Lineage: Eukaryota; Metazoa; Arthropoda; Arachnida; Araneae; Eresidae.